GCUGGCGGCAUGCUUAACACAUGCAAGUCGCACGAAGGUUUCGGCCUUAGUGGCGGACGGGUGAGUAACGCGUAGGUAUCUAUCCAUGGGUGGGGGAUAACAGCGGGAAACUGCUGCUAAUACCGCAUGACACCUGAGGGUCAAAGGCGCAAGUCGCCUGUGGAGGAGCCUGCGUACGAUUAGCUUGUUGGUGGGGUAAUGGCCUACCAAGGCGACGAUCGUUAGCUGGUCUGAGAGGAUGAUCAGCCACAUUGGGACUGAGACACGGCCCAAACUCCUACGGGAGGCAGCAGUGGGGAAUAUUGGACAAUGGGCGAAAGCCUGAUCCAGCAAUGCCGCGUGUGUGAAGAAGGUCUUAGGAUUGUAAAGCACUUUCGACGGGGACGAUGAUGACGGUACCCGUAGAAGAAGCCCCGGCUAACUUCGUGCCAGCAGCCGCGGUAAUACGAAGGGGGCUAGCGUUGCUCGGAAUGACUGGGCGUAAAGGGCGCGUAGGCGGAUUGUUUAGUUAGGUGUGAAAUUCCUGGGCUUAACCUGGGGACUGCACUUAAUACAGGCAGUCUAGAGUGGGAUAGAGGGUUGUGGAAUUCCCAGUGUAGAGGUGAAAUUCGUAGAUAUUGGGAAGAACACCGGUGGCGAAGGCGGCAACCUGGAUCUUUACUGACGCUGAGGCGCGAAAGCGUGGGGAGCAAACAGGAUAGAUACCCUGGUAGUCCACGCUGUAAACGAUGUGUGCUGGAUGUUGGGAAACCUAGUUUCUCAGUGUCGUAGCUAACGCGAUAAGCACACCGCCUGGGGAGUACGGCCGCAAGGUUGAAACUCAAAGGAA
Molecule: ribosomal RNA, 829 nt
Filed under: uncultured bacterium
Lineage: Bacteria
Description: bacterial SSU rRNA
Rfam family: Bacterial small subunit ribosomal RNA
Source: RNAcentral